This 821-nucleotide ribosomal RNA is filed under the name uncultured Sebacinales. Its description in RNAcentral is "eukaryotic LSU rRNA". The stretch from base 172 to 821 matches the Rfam family "Eukaryotic large subunit ribosomal RNA", at positions 1 to 630 of the family's 3401-position model. The record is from RNAcentral. Lineage: Eukaryota; Fungi; Basidiomycota; Agaricomycetes; Sebacinales.
UGGAGUUGGAUGCUGCUGUGCUUUGACAGCUCAUCUGAGAGGUCUGAGUGCAUCCCGUGUCGUGAUGUGUUUGGUGUGAUAAGUCUUCACCAUAAUUGACUCCCAGAGUCACACACUUGUUUCAUGGCUCUGCACUUCCAAACAUCCCUGAUGGGAUAAUAGUUGACAAUUUGACCUCAAAUCGGGUGGGACUACCCGCUGAACUUAAGCAUAUCAAUAAGCGGAGGAAAAGAAACUAACUAGGAUUCCCCCAGUAACGGCGAGUGAAGAGGGAAAAGCUCAAAUUUUGAAUCUGGUGUCCUUUGGCACCCGAAUUGUAAUCUAGAGAAGUGUUUUCUGUGUUGGACCAUGCACAAGUUCCUUGGAAUGGGAUAUCAUAGAGGGUGACAGUCCCGUACAUGGCAUGGAUCUCAAUGCUCUGUGAUACACUCUCAACGAGUCGAGUUGUUUGGGAAUGCAGCUCAAAAUGGGUGGUGAAUUCCAUCUAAAGCUAAAUAUUGGCGAGAGACCGAUAGCGAACAAGUACCGUGAGGGAAAGAUGAAAAGCACUUUGGAAAGAGAGUGAAAUAGUACGUGAAAUUGUUGGAAGGGAAGCGUUUAAAGUCAGUCAGUGAUUUGGAAUUCAGCCUGGCUUCUGCCUGUUGUAAUUUCCAUUGACAGGUCAGCAUCAGUUUUGAUGGGGGGAAAAAGAUGUGGUGAAUGUGACUGUCUCCGGGCAGUGUUAUAGCUCCACAUUGUAUGCCUCUGUUGGGACUGAGGAUUGCAGCGCGCCAUAAAUGGCCGGAGGCUAUGUCUCUCGACACCGCGCUUAGGAUGCUGGC